GACGAACGCUGGCGGCGUGCUUAACACAUGCAAGUCGAACGGAAAGGCCCUUCGGGGUACUCGAGUGGCGAACGGGUGAGUAACACGUGGGUGAUCUGCCCUGCACUCUGGGAUAAGCCUGGGAAACUGGGUCUAAUACCGGAUAUGAUCAUGCGCCUCAUGGUGUGUGGUGGAAAGCUUUUGCGGUGUGGGAUGGGCCCGCGGCCUAUCAGCUUGUUGGUGGGGUAAUGGCCUACCAAGGCGACGACGGGUAGCCGGCCUGAGAGGGUGACCGGCCACACUGGGACUGAGAUACGGCCCAGACUCCUACGGGAGGCAGCAGUGGGGAAUAUUGCACAAUGGGCGCAAGCCUGAUGCAGCGACGCCGCGUGGGGGAUGACGGCCUCGGUUGUAACGU
RNAcentral lists this ribosomal RNA (397 nucleotides) under uncultured bacterium. RNAcentral's name for it is "bacterial SSU rRNA". It matches the Rfam family "Bacterial small subunit ribosomal RNA", at positions 28 to 431 of the family's 1533-position model. The record is from RNAcentral.